CAGGCUUAACACAUGCAAGUCGAGGGGCAGCAUGGUCUUAGCUUGCUAAGGCCGAUGGCGACCGGCGCACGGGUGAGUAACACGUAUCCAACCUGCCGUCUACUCUUGGACAGCCUUCUGAAAGGAAGAUUAAUACAAGAUGGCAUCAUGAGUCCGCAUGUUCACAUGAUUAAAGGUAUUCCGGUAGACGAUGGGGAUGCGUUCCAUUAGAUAGUAGGCGGGGUAACGGCCCACCUAGUCUUCGAUGGAUAGGGGUUCUGAGAGGAAGGUCCCCCACAUUGGAACUGAGACACGGUCCAAACUCCUACGGGAGGCAGCAGUGAGGAAUAUUGGUCAAUGGGCGAGAGCCUGAACCAGCCAAGUAGCGUGAAGGAUGACUGCCCUAUGGGUUGUAAACUUCUUUUAUAAAGGAAUAAAGUCGGGUAUGCAUACCCGUUUGCAUGUACUUUAUGAAUAAGAAUCGGCUAACUCCGUGCCAGCAGCCGCGGUAAUACGGAGGAUCCGAGCGUUAUCCGGAUUUAUUGGGUUUAAAGGGAGCGUAGAUGGAUGUUUAAGUCAGUUGUGAAAGUUUGCGGCUCAACCGUAAAAUUGCAGUUGAUACUGGAUAUCUUGAGUGCAGUUGAGGCAGGCGGAAUUCGUGGUGUAGCGGUGAAAUGCUUAGAUAUCACGAAGAACUCCGAUUGCGAAGGCAGCCUGCUAAGCUGCAACUGACAUUGAGGCUCGAAAGUGUGGGUAUCAAACAGGAUUAGAUACCCUGGUAGUCCACACGGUAAACGAUGAAUACUCGCUGUUUGCGAUAUACAGCAAGCGGCCAAGCGAAAGCGUUAAGUAUUCCACCUGGGGAGUACGCCGGCAACGGUGAAACUCAAAGGAAUUGACGGGGGCCCGCACAAGCGGAGGAACAUGUGGUUUAAUUCGAUGAUACGCGAGGAACCUUACCCGGGCUUAAAUUGCAGAUGAAUUACGGUGAAAGCCGUAAGCCGCAAGGCAUCUGUGAAGGUGCUGCAUGGUUGUCGUCAGCUCGUGCCGUGAGGUGUCGGCUUAAGUGCCAUAACGAGCGCAACCCUUGUUGUCAGUUACUAACAGGUUCCGCUGAGGACUCUGACAAGACUGCCAUCGUAAGAUGUGAGGAAGGUGGGGAUGACGUCAAAUCAGCACGGCCCUUACGUCCGGGGCUACACACGUGUUACAAUGGGGGGUACAGAGGGCCGCUACCACGCGAGUGGAUGCCAAUCCCAAAAACUUCUCUCAGUUCGGACUGGAGUCUGCAACCCGACUCCACGAAGCUGGAUUCGCUAGUAAUCGCGCAUCAGCCACGGCGCGGUGAAUACGUUCCCGGGCCCUGUACACACCGCCCGUCAAGCCAUGGGAGCCGGGGGUACCUGAAGUGCGUAACCGCGAGGAGCGCCCUAGGGUAAAACUGGUGACUGGGGCUAAGUC
This 1440-nucleotide ribosomal RNA is filed under the name uncultured organism. RNAcentral's name for it is "16S ribosomal RNA". It matches the Rfam family "Bacterial small subunit ribosomal RNA". The record is from RNAcentral.